This 528-nucleotide ribosomal RNA is filed under the name Bifidobacterium longum subsp. infantis. Its description in RNAcentral is "bacterial SSU rRNA". It matches the Rfam family "Bacterial small subunit ribosomal RNA", at positions 157 to 700 of the family's 1533-position model. Lineage: Bacteria; Bacillati; Actinomycetota; Actinomycetes; Bifidobacteriales; Bifidobacteriaceae. The record is from RNAcentral.
CGGGUGGUAAUGCCGGAUGCUCCAGUUGAUCGCAUGGUCUUCUGGGAAAGCUUUCGCGGUAUGGGAUGGGGUCGCGUCCUAUCAGCUUGACGGCGGGGUAACGGCCCACCGUGGCUUCGACGGGUAGCCGGCCUGAGAGGGCGACCGGCCACAUUGGGACUGAGAUACGGCCCAGACUCCUACGGGAGGCAGCAGUGGGGAAUAUUGCACAAUGGGCGCAAGCCUGAUGCAGCGACGCCGCGUGAGGGAUGGAGGCCUUCGGGUUGUAAACCUCUUUUAUCGGGGAGCAAGCGAGAGUGAGUUUACCCGUUGAAUAAGCACCGGCUAACUACGUGCCAGCAGCCGCGGUAAUACGUAGGGUGCAAGCGUUAUCCGGAAUUAUUGGGCGUAAAGGGCUCGUAGGCGGUUCGUCGCGUCCGGUGUGAAAGUCCAUCGCUUAACGGUGGAUCCGCGCCGGGUACGGGCGGGCUUGAGUGCGGUAGGGGAGGCUGGAAUUCCCGGUGUAACGGUGGAAUGUGUAGAUAUCGG